RNAcentral lists this ribosomal RNA (528 nucleotides) under uncultured bacterium. RNAcentral's name for it is "bacterial SSU rRNA". It matches the Rfam family "Bacterial small subunit ribosomal RNA", at positions 777 to 1297 of the family's 1533-position model. The record is from RNAcentral.
AAUAGAUACCCAGGUAGUCCUAGCCGUAAACGAUGAGCACUGGGUUGAAGGGUCCUCCAUAGCCUUUCAGCCGCAGCGAAAGUGUUAAGUGCUCCGCCUGGGGAGUAUGGUCGCAAGGCUGAAACUCAAAGAAAUUGACGGGGGCUCACACAAGCGGUGGAGGAUGUGGCUUAAUUCGAGGCUACGCGAAGAACCUUAUCCUAGUCUUGACAUGCACGGGAUUAACUCCCUGAAAGGGGAGCCAGGCCUUCGGGUACAACGUGCACAGGUGCCGCAUGGCUGUCGUCAGCUCGUGCUGUGAAGUGUCGGGUUAAGUCCCUUAACGAGCGAAACCCUUGUCGCUAGUUGCCAGCGAGUCAUGUCGGGGACUCUAGCGAGACCGCCGGCGUUAAGCCGGAGGAAGGCGGGGAUGACGUCAAGUCCUCAUGGCCUUUAUGACUAGGGCUGCACACGUCCUACAAUGGCGCGCACAAAGGGAUGCAAAAUCGCGAGAUCAAGCAAAUCCCAAAAAACGCGCCCCAGUUCGGA